Molecule: long non-coding RNA, 242 nt
Filed under: Brassica rapa (field mustard)
Lineage: Eukaryota; Viridiplantae; Streptophyta; Magnoliopsida; Brassicales; Brassicaceae
Description: long non-coding RNA (BRAP_LNC005369)
Source: RNAcentral
UUUAAUAUUACUAAUUUUUAAAAAUUAUAAAUAAUAUGAAACAUAGAGCAUAAAAAAUGGAAAAACUACAUUGAACAUAUGUAAAAUUACUAUUUUUCACUUUAAAAAAAAAGACGGUUUAAUUCCAUAAUGUAAUAUUACCAUUUACCAUUUUUAUUUUUAAAAAAAUAAUAUGUAAACAUACAACAUAAAAAUGGAAAAACUACAUUAAACAUAUGUAAGAUUACCAUUUUUCACUAAAA